Molecule: transfer RNA, 72 nt
Filed under: bacterium
Lineage: Bacteria
Also listed under: 1 other name
Description: tRNA-Arg
Rfam family: tRNA
About the family: Transfer RNA (tRNA) molecules are approximately 80 nucleotides in length.
Source: RNAcentral
GUCCCUGUGGCCUAACGGAUAAGGCGUUGGCCUCCGGAGCCAAAGAUGCAGGUUCAAUUCCUGCCAGGGACA